RNAcentral lists this ribosomal RNA (403 nucleotides) under uncultured bacterium. RNAcentral describes it as "partial 16S ribosomal RNA". It matches the Rfam family "Bacterial small subunit ribosomal RNA", at positions 28 to 526 of the family's 1533-position model. The record is from RNAcentral.
GACGAACGCUGGCGGCGUGCCUAAUACAUGCAAGUCGAACGCAGUGGGGACGGGUGAGUAACACGUGGGUAACAGCCCAUCAGAGGGGAUAAAAAUUGGCAAAAGGUGCUAAACCGAUAUUGAUGGAGGGACCCGCGGUGCAUUAGCCAGUUGGUGAGGUAACGGCUCACCAAGGCCACGAGGCAUAGGCUGCCUGAGAGGGGCGACGGCCAACCUGGGACUGGAACCCGGCCCAAACUCCUACGGGAGGCAGCAGUAGGGAAUCUUCGGCAAUGGGCGGAAGUCUGACCGCGCAACGCCGGGUUGUUGAAGAAGGUUUUCGGAUCGGAAAACUCUGUUUGUAGGAGAGCGGUAUCUAACCAGAAAGCCACGGCUAACUACGGGCCAGCCGGCGCGGUAAUUC